This 530-nucleotide ribosomal RNA is filed under the name Pichia thaimueangensis. Its description in RNAcentral is "[Candida] thaimueangensis partial small subunit ribosomal RNA". It matches the Rfam family "Bacterial small subunit ribosomal RNA", at positions 359 to 950 of the family's 1533-position model. The record is from RNAcentral. Lineage: Eukaryota; Fungi; Ascomycota; Pichiomycetes; Pichiales; Pichiaceae.
GAAUAUUAGUCAAUGAUCGAAAGAUUGAUCUAGUUACUUAGAAAGAUGAAGAUUAUAAAAAAAAUAAAAAUGAAAAUAAUAAUGAAGAAUAUAAAAUCAAUGUAUAUAUAAAUGAAUAAUGAUGAUUAUAUAUAUAGAAGUCUUAACCAAAAUUAGUGCCAGCAGUUGCGGCUAAACUAAGGAGGCAAACGUUAAUCAUUAAUGGCUUAAAGGAUCCGUAGAAUGAUAUAGUAAAAAUACAUAUUAGAGUUAAAUUGAAUAAUUAUGAAAAAUUAUAUUGAGAGAUGAAAUGUGUGGAAAAUAAUUAGACAAAUAAACGUGAAGAUAAAAUUAAAGAUUUAACUGACAUUGAGGGAUGAAGGCAUGAUUAGCAAAACGGAUUAGAUACCCGAGUAGUUCAUGCAGUAAACGAUGAAUACUUCAAAAGAAAAGCGAAAGCUAAAGUAUUCCGCCAGGAGAGUAUAGCUUCAAAGUAGAAAUCCAAGACAAUAGACGGUUACAGUUGUAGGCAGUGGAUUGUGUUAUUUAAU